Molecule: ribosomal RNA, 301 nt
Filed under: uncultured bacterium
Lineage: Bacteria
Description: partial 16S ribosomal RNA
Rfam family: Bacterial small subunit ribosomal RNA
Source: RNAcentral
CAGCCGCCGCGGGAAUACGUAGGGUGCGAGCGUUAAUCGGAAUUACUGGGCGUAAAGCGUGCGCAGGCGGUUAUAUAAGACAGAUGUGAAAUCCCCGGGCUCAACCCGGGACCUGCAUUUGUGACUGUAUAGCUAGAGUACGGUAGAGGGGGAUGGAAUUCCGCGUGUAGCAGUGAAAUGCGUAGAUAUGCGGAGGAACACCGAUGGCGAAGGCAGCCCCCUGGGCCAACACUGACGCUCAUGCACGAAAGCGUGGGGAGCAAACAGGAUUAGAUACCCCUGUAGUCCCUGUCUCUUAUAC